CAACAGGUUAGUGUUUCUGUUGUGUGGCGUGUGGUUGCUGAGGCUCUGGAGUCCCCACAGUUAUCAAGGAAAACCAGAAGGACAGCAGAGGCUGCUUGGCUACUGACUGACUGCAGUACCUCCACAGCUCACCCACACUGCAGCAGCAGUCUGGCCCAAUGUACCAUCACAUGAGGGACGUGUGGCCAGAGGAAAGGCUCAGGUUGGCUGCACAGCUUGAGGACAGGAUUUCAACAUAGGAGCAGGCACUUGCUUCACAGUUCCUGGAACAGGAAUAGUAGCUAAGGAAGGAGGACAAAGCUCAGCAGAAAGAGCCGUUUGUUUGGCUUAUAUCACUAAUGACUGUAAGAUUAAUGGCUCCUGUUGUGUCACUCACUCCACGGCCUGAGUCCCCUGAGUGCUACCCUAUGCUGCAGUUCAGAAGCAGCUUGGAAGACUCCGUGGCUGGCUGGCCCAUGCAAUUGGGCUCCAUGAGCAGCUGGACAGGGCAACCUUGCCCCGUGCAGUCCUCCAUACUGAUUCCCUCCUCUUUGGAUGCUUUUACCUCCCUCCCACAGCUCACAUGCACAGCAAACAGGGAAAGGAGAGCAAGUGUCCAAGGCACAUGCAACAGUAGGGGGUUUCUGUCUUGUUCACGGUUUCUACUGUCUGCACUUGUUCAUGCACUUUGGUUUUAUUGUUUUUUUUCCCUGGAAGGUUCUGUUGAUACUGGGGUUUU
Long non-coding RNA from Mauremys mutica (yellowpond turtle), 718 nucleotides. RefSeq lists it as uncharacterized. The transcript has 3 exons. The record is from RefSeq and is a predicted model, not a curated record. NCBI's taxonomy places the organism in Eukaryota, Metazoa, Chordata, Testudines, Geoemydidae.